UUAAAAAAAAAGACUUCUCUUCUUCUGCGAACCCUAGCUAUCGUCAUCUUCUUUCUCUUCUUCGUUCUCUGCAAACCAAACCUUCUCAUCCUUCAGAAAUCCUUCGAACCUUCAUAAAUAUUUUCUCUUUCUUCGAUUUUCACAAUUCUGGUUUUACUCGCCCAAGGUGUCUUUCUUUGGGGUUAGGGUUCAAACGCUUUUUUCAAUUGGGGAUGUUCUGUUCACCGAUGGAAUUAAACUAAUUUUCCAAAUCUCAUUAUUUGUGGGUUUUCCAAUCAAAAUUUCAAGGGAGCAGUAAUUACAGGAUUUUUUGCUAGUGUCAAGGUAAUGUUGAAGUUGAAAUACACGGUGAAGAAUCUUUAGGGAGCAGUAAUUAUCCUGAUCUGGAUGCAGUAUGGCUUAUCUGGAGUUUAUGAAGGUUGUAAUAGCUUAUGAGAAAAAACUCAGUACUUCAACAUUUGUCCCGAAGUCCACAAAGCUAAAUGAGGAACUGGAGCUACAGAAAAAGCUUCUUUGAAAAGCUUUUCAGUUGUUCGAAACAUUUACAAUAUAGUUGCCACUUGUAGAAUACAAUAUAGUUGUUUCAUGAAUACAAUGUAGUUGCUUCAAACCAAUUUUGAAUUGUCAGGUUUUUCUCAAUAUUUAUUGUUACUGAUGUGUUGUAUUUUGGAAUUAUUGCAGCUACCGUGUCCUGGUUUGAUAGGAAUGCAAACUCAUCUUCAUUUGUGAAGCCUAGUCUCAUCAUAUUUUUUAAAAGAACUGCUACUCGCUUAAAGGUUCAGUUUGACAAUUUAUUGUGCUUUGAUAGUUAUCCUCAAACUUAUUAUUUAUAGUGUCUUACUCUAUAAAUCCUACUCUAAACAUGAUUCUUGAGAAACUUAUCAUUUACAAUGUCUUACUCAAAAUCCUACUCUAAACAUAAUUUAUCGUGCUUCUGUAGUUUUAUUUAAAGUACUUAUUUCAUGUCUAUUAUCUGUGUAUCUAUGUGUGAAACUUAACUCUGGAAACGUGAAUCUGAACAAAAGUCAUAUGAGAUUUACAGGUAUAUUUACAAGUCAUAUUAGAAAUUUAGAACCACAUCAUUCUACCUAAGCUAAGCUAACUAAGGAAACUAUGAAAGCCUAAUAGAUAGGAAAUAGUAACUGUAAUCAUAUUAUAUUUGCAGUUAUACUGUGAAUCAAUUUGAUUCUGCCAAGCUGAAUCUACAAGGCAUGCUUGUGUGCACUCCUUAAUCAUGCUUUUUAAAAUUGGUUGGAUGAUCACACACUUUGUCAGUUGCAUCCCUGUUCAGAGAGGAAAAGUUGUGAUUUCCAAAUCUUUGUUUUGAGUUCUAAAUCUGAUGCUGAUAUUGGGAGUUGUUUCAUAUGCCGUUUUGAGAAAAUUAAUUAGAUUGAACUUCCUAUCCAUUUUGCUGAAAUAAUUAUCCUCUUCGAGGUUGGAUUAAAUUCAAUUCAGACUUUUUGACUUGCAAUGUACAUUUUGGAGGCCCGUCUAGAUGAGAGUGUUCAAGACAUGGAGAGCCUUAAUUCCUGAAUUCAGGAACUUGAGGCUCAGUUAAACAAGGAGAAUGAAGAGUAUAAAAGAAUUAAUUCAAGAAUAAUUUGGAAGUGUGUUCGAAUGCACAAUCAUAAUUUGGAGGUGCAAGAUGAACUUAAGAGGCA
Long non-coding RNA from Trifolium pratense (red clover), 1661 nucleotides. RefSeq lists it as uncharacterized. The transcript has 5 exons. NCBI's taxonomy places the organism in Eukaryota, Viridiplantae, Streptophyta, Magnoliopsida, Fabales, Fabaceae. The record is from RefSeq and is a predicted model, not a curated record.